This 2114-nucleotide unclassified non-coding RNA is filed under the name Daphnia pulex (common water flea). RNAcentral describes it as "uncharacterized LOC124209881, transcript variant X3". Lineage: Eukaryota; Metazoa; Arthropoda; Branchiopoda; Diplostraca; Daphniidae. The record is from RNAcentral.
AUUGAGUUCCUGAUGGGCGUGAUGGCUACUAAUUUAUUUAGUGGCCCUGUCGAUAAAAAGCAACAGUAAGCCUGAGGCCAAAGGAUAUAAUGUACCUACAUGACCUAUCUUUUUUAGCUUUAACAGAGAACGGACCUUUUAUACUACAUCAAAAGAAGUAAAACCCGGUGGCUUAUAGACCAUAAGAAUAGCAUCUGAGUAGGCCUCAAAAUGCAACCAGCUCAACGGGACUAAUUCUUUUGCGAUUGACCAUAGUUGGUUACCAUAUACCAUGAACAUUGAGCAGAAAUUUCACUACCUGUAGUCGAUAAAGCAACGACGCAAUAUGCAGGUAGGUAGGCUAUUUUCAUAUUAUCCCUAUAGUUGAUAUCUAUUUGUUUAGAUUGGAUAAACAAAUCCAUUACAUCCAAAUGACCUUGUAAUAAGGCAUAAUGCAAAAGCGUAUACUAUUGCUGAUCAACAACAUCAAUCCGGGCUUAUAAAGAAGCGAUUUCAAGUAGUUUUACCAAUUUUGUAUACCCUUCCCUAGAAGCCAUAUGCAGCAGUGAACAUUUAAAAUAGUUUUCAUGUUCUUUGUAAAUCAGUUGCUCAUUAGGGUCACUCCUAGGAAAUAUUUGACAACAACUGCUACAUUGUUGAUUGGGUUGUGCAUCCAUUCUUUUAUAAACAGAUGAUGGAACGGCAGAACAAUCCUCUUGUACAUUGAAAGGUGGAGAAUUUGUAUUAGAAAUAGUUCUUCUUACAAGAGGCUACCAAAAAAGGAUGGAACAAACCAGACGGGGAUUAUCUACCGGGAACAAAUUUUGCAAAUUACCAAAAUUUCGUCCAGGAAACACUACAACCGGGGGGGGGGGGGUGGGGUUUACCCCCACGGUGCUCAAGUGGAAUUAGACAAACUCAUCACAAAAAACAAGUGGAAAAAAAGAGAGAAUACGUAUCCCAAAGGAUACCAACAUGCAUGUACACUGCUGGUGUUCCUCCAAAAUGGAUUAAAAUACAACAUCACCAUCAUAAAUUCGAUAAAGGACUACGCCGUCACAGAUGCUUAUAUGAAAAUGUUUGAAACCCUCUAUCGUAGCGAAAAAGUUACUGGAUACAUUUUCCGCCAAAAGGAAGAAAUUCCAGUUGCUGCUGAGCAGCUACCUGUCAGUUCUUUCACAGCAACAAAUGGUGUUGAAUAUUCAAGUAGCGACGUACGCUACAAGAACCGACCAAUGGAGGGAUAUGUAGUGUUUUUUCAGGGCGCCACAGACAAAAUGUAAAGUUUCAAGAAAUCGGCCGAGUCAGAAGAGGCAAGAAAAAAAGAAGACAAGAAAAAGAUUGAAAUCAAUGAUUAAAGGCAGCAGUUUGAUCUUUUGGGAGUUCAACAGUCCAAAAUCAAAAGUGAGAUAGCGAAACUUCAAGAAGAGAAGAUGAAAUCUGUUGCGUUGUCCAAAUUGAAUUAGACAAGAUCACCAAGAAAAAAUUCUGGGUUAAAAAAGAGUAUACUUAUCCUAAGGGAAAUGAGUAUGCUUGUACAUUGCUGGUGUAUUUACCAGGCUUAAAACACAAGGUCACAAUAAUUGAUUGCAUUAAGGACUACGCUAUCACGGAUGCCUACCAAAAGAUGUUUGAACUCCUUUAUCGACGUGGAAAAGUUACUCGUUUCAUUUUUCGCGAGAAGUUACAACUUCCUGUUAAUUCUACAAGUUGCACAGCAACAAAUGGUUAAUAAAGCACACAGAAAAAGAAAUUUGUACUUGCAGACGUUGUAAGAAAGACUUCAAAGCAAAAAAUGAAUUACGCUUGCACAAUGAAGAGAUGCACCAAUCAUUUUCCUGUGAAUUUUGCCAUUCAAUGUUUAUGGGUUCAGGCGGCCUGGAGAAACAUCUUCAAAAGGGAGAGCAAAGAAACGAUGUGUGCCCAAAGAAAAACUUAUAGAAAAAUGUGAAGCUAAAUUGAACUGCAAGUCCCGUAUAUGAAUAAAGCAAACCCAUAUUUCCUAUUCUUCCCAUUCUUCCCUCGGACGAAUUACUCUGUGGAUUAUUCCCCGAAAAACGUAAACAACACUUUUCCAAGAUUGUUUUUAAGUAAACUGGAAUUCAGAAAAAAAGACAAAUACAUUACAAAAUUUC